AAAAAAAAAAAAAAUAUAGUCAAUUACCCCCCUAUGACGUGGCAUGACUUUUUUGACCAUGUGUCAGUGCCACGUGGCAGUUAACGGCCACAUCAGCAUGUUGGAUGGAGGAAAUUAACGGAGGGGGGUAAUUGACAGACGCUUGACAAUUUCAGGGGGGUUUUUGACAUUUUGCAAAAUUCAGGGGGGUUUUUGACGAAAGUUACAAUUUCAGGGGGGUAAUUGACUAUUUACUCAAUGAUAUAUAUUUAACUUUAAUAAUAAUUUUGGACUUAUUAAUAGAAACUUCAAUAAUUUUGGCCUUGCUAUCCCUUUAGGGUCGGCUAACCCCAUUAGGCAAGCCUAAUUGUCUUCUUUUUUUUUUGGUUCAAAAGCCUAGGUAACUAGAUAUAAAUGAGGUGUCAAAAUUCGAACUCGGACUCAUGCGUACAUUAUAUUAAACUCGUGAUUUUAAUUUUCUUUAUAUUAUAAAUCGGAUAUUAUUAACGUAUAAAUGUAGAAAUUAAUCCCUCAAACUUAAUGAAACUCUAAUCAAUGGUGAAACCCUUCUUCAACGUGAUAUAACAUAUCAUGAAACAAUUCCUUUGGUUAAAUUGAAAAUAAACGAGGGUUUAAUUCGAACAUCGAUCUUCAUUUAUUGUAAUAUUUCUAUCAACUGAGUUAUGCUCCACAAAACAAUUGAAAUUAUAAUUUACCAUUUCAUCCUUGUUUUUGCAUACAUUAUUUUAGAAUUUAUUUUAGAAUCACUCCAAGUAUUUGCCAACAAAAAAGCAAAGAAUUUGGUAAAAAAAAUAAAUAAAGCAAAAAGAAAGAAUAAUUCCAAUAGGUACCACCCUUAUAUUUUAGAGAAUGCUAUUUGAACAAUAAUUUGGUACAACCUACUUGACAACCUUCAUUUUCUCUCUUUUCAUUGGUCAAAAAUAAUAGAGAGAGAAAAAAGAAGAGAGAGUAAGAAUAUAACGUGAAUAUAAGAGAGAAAGUUGUCACAGUGGUCGUUCAAAUAUCAUUUCUCUAUAUUUUAAUGACAAUAUUCAUCAAUUUUCAAUUCAUUUGCUUAUGACUCACCACCUCUUCACUCGCACUCAACUCCCCCAACUCGCGCCUUUCAUUCAUCACCAUCUCAAGAAAACAGUCAUCAUCCCCCAAUUCUUUUCAACAACCCUCCGCCGCACCCACACCCACACCCUACCUCCAAUGGACGCGCAUCCACCAGAUUCCUCCUCCGCCACCCCCGCCGCCGCCGUCGAAGACUUCAUUCACAUCCACGAUCUCAAAAUGGAGAGCUUAUCCGAUAGCAUGGUUCGGAUCGAUGAUCAUUCUUCGGAUUCCGUCGAUGCAGCAGCUUCGUCUGCUCCUCCGGAUGCCGGAGAAGACGCCGUCGCCGCGGUGGAUUCAGAUCGACAGAAAGUUACGCUUCCUGAGGAGUUGUCGAGGAAUGUAAUUGUGUUGUCUUGUGAAUCUUCUGCUGAAGGUGGUGUUUGCGAUGUUUAUUUGGUUGGUACUGCUCAUGUUUCUGAGGUAAAUUCUUUUUAUUGAUUUUGAUUCUGAUUUUGCUAUGUUUUUUUGUAUGUUAGUUCCAUGUAGCACGGAUACUCAUCGGAUUAGGUUUGAUUAGGUGUCUCCUGAUGUAUGCAUCCGACACCGACACAUAAUUACUAUUUAUGUCAUUUUCUCAAAUUAUUAUCAGCGUUGACGUGUGAGUAUUCACGUGUUAGUUGCAUUGUGUUUUUCAUUGUCUACAUUCAUAACAAUGAAUUAGGGUUUUACUUACAAUACAAAAACCAACUCAACUGAUUUCAUUUAUAAUGAUAGUUUUAAUAUAAGAUUGAAUAUAAUAUAAAACUUGGGAACUACUCCCUCGGUCCUUUCGUAUGAGCAACUGUUGACUCCAUAUGGAUGUAGUUAAGAGGAUUGAUUUUGCCGUCUGUAAAGGGUUAGCCGCGCAACUUGUUAUCUGCUUGCCUUUCAUUUAUGUGUAAUUUUUUAUUCUUAUUGUAGCUGCAGGAAGUUGGUAGUGUAGUUAAUGUGUACAUUUUGGGAAUGACUGUUACUAAAUUACCCUUUGUGUGAAUAAAUGUAUUUACAGUUGACUUUUCAUAUUCCAAAGCACAGUAGUAGUAUUAAUUAGGGUUAUGUUUGUAAAAAAAAGUCUAGAAACAUGAGAGAGAUUACUUUUAGCGACAAAUAUUAUCUCUCAAUAGGUGCUUAUAAUAUAGGAUGGAGCUUACAAUUAAGGACAAAGGGCUGGAUGUACCAAGAAUGUGAUCUACCACUUGCUGGCAAUCAGGUUCAAUUGACACCGUAGUAAUACCCAUUUCACUAGGCCAAAGCAUAGCUUCCUCUAGACCCCAAGCUUCUGCUUUGUGGAGGUGACAACUCGUGGAACCAAGAUGUUUUCGCUUAUAUAAAUUCACGCUUAUCGCCACUUAAACACAUUGCUGCUCCAAAUCACCGUUGGUGCUUAAAGAUUUCCACAUCUAUGUGGCACUUGACUUGUCAUAUUGCUGGUUUUUCCCAUUUCAGUCCUGAAUUACCACUGACGGCACCAGCCCCCCUCCCUGCAUAAUCCCGAACCUGCUGCCACUGCCGCGGACUGUCACGUGCGAUCUGUAUGACUCAGACGAGCAUAGCUCCACAUUGUUCCACAGUUUCUCGUUCUUUGUUUCCAUAUAACACCAAAAGGCCAUCACAAACUGCUGCAUGUGGUGCUGAUGCAACAUGGCCAGCAGGUGAAAAAAUAACGAUAUGAAACCAUCCGCAAUGUCCAGCCAUCAUUGAAUAAAAGACCGUAAACCUGCUUCAGCCCACACUUCCUGUACCUUGUUACAACAAAAAAAAAAAACAUGCCAAUCGUUUUCUUAGCAACUCUCACAGUGAGCUAUCCAAGCAAUUUACUCCCCGUGAUUGUAGUUGUUGUCGUGUAGGAAGACAGCCCCUAACCGCACACCAUAGAAACAGUCACCUUCUGUGGUAUUCUUAGUCCCCACAAUUUCGUCCAGUUACCAUUCAUUUGGAGAUCUCUGUUAUCCACAAGCUGCUCCGUUAUGAAAUAGUGAGCCAAUUUGACACUAUAUUCGCUGUAUUGAGUUAAUUUCCAAACAUAUUCAUCCUCAAGUACUUCACUAUAAAUUGGCAUGGAUAGGAUUUGAUUAGCAUCACUGUGAUUAAAUGUCUCCAUGAUCACUUCUCGCCGCCGAUAACAAUUGGAAUUCUAUUGUGUUAUUUCUUUGCAAAAAUAAAUGGCUGACUUCUUCUAAUUAUAUUCUUGUGUUUUUAUUCAUUUCAAUUGGAAUUGCCUUUUGUUUUGUUAUGUAAAAUGCAUAGUUCUAAAUUGCGGUUGUAAACCUUGAUACUGCUGCAAAAUGUAGGCAUUUACUUUGGUCGUUGUCGUCCCAAUUGAAUUCACUACCGUUGAAAUGGUGGUGAAAUGAUAGAGUUAAUGCUUACUAUUUUUGUUGAACUAUGUUGCAGGAAUCAAGCAAAGAAGUUCAAGCUAUUGUCAGUUUACUGAAACCAGAGGUGUUUUUCCCUUUCAACUCCAGGCUGAGCUGCCUGAUUUUGAUUUCAUGCUGUUUCCCUUUCUUUUACUUGUACAUUUUUAAUGAUGAAAGCAUAUGGUUGGCUUUUGUUUGCUGCAGGCUGUCUUCCUUGAAUUGUGCUCGAGUCGUGUGCAAGUGCUUACCCUUCAAAAUCUUAAGGUCUCUACUUUUAAACUUAUUUUACAAUGAGCAAGGUUUGCUAUGCACUAUUUGGUACACUCUUUCUAGAGCAAAUUUUCGUGGGUCCCACUAAAAAACAGGACCUGUGUUUGGUUCUUCGAUUACGGAUAUUGAUUUUGGUUAAUACCUAAUUGAAUGUUAAGGGUCUAUUUGGAUCAACAGGGGGAAAGGUUUAUGGAGGGGCAGGAGAGGGUCUGUUCGGUUUGACGUGGGGAGGGGAAGUGUAAAAUUACAUUUUCCACCUUUGUAAUAUUUAAGGUCGUGUUAAAUAAAAAGAUAUUUGAGUCUAAAUUGUAAAUCAAUAUUUCUUUCCUCCAAAACCCCCAUGUUUGGAGGGGUAUAAAAUUAGCUCCGCAGGGAUUUUGCUCCCCUCCCCUCUAACCAAACAAGUAAUUUUUGUUGUUUCGUACAUUCACGUAAAAAUGAGUUUAACAUUAAAUUUAAGGCUAAAAUUACGUUUGGAGUAAAAAGCAUCAUCAAAUCCCAAUAAUAUCAGUUUUGGAAGUAAAAACAAUUCAAUAUAUGUCACUGAUGUUGAAUAUCAACAUGCUUCAGUAGAUGAGUGCAGGGUUGAAGGGUUAAGUAUAUGAUUGUUGAAUAUUUCUAUUGCUUACUGGUGUUGUACUCACUAAAAGAUGAUCAUCAUCGUCAUAUUAUUUUACAUAUUUGAUUUUUUAUAAUAUAUCUUUACUCAUUUACCUUUAUUUUUUAAACUUUUAAGCUUGCAACUUAUGAGUAUUUUAUUUUUUUAUUUUUAAAUAGUAUUUUAUUCUUCUUUGUGUAUAAUAAAGAAGGCCAAAAAUCAUCUUUUCUUUUAGUAAUAAAAUUAUAAUUGUAAUCAUUUUAGUGGUCUAUAAAAUAUUUUUCAACUAUAAAUUCAUCACAAUGUUGGUUCUCAUUCAGUUUUAUUUAUUUUCAUUCAGGUACCUACUAUGAGAGAAAUGAUUGAAUUGUUGAAGAAAAACCGUAACAUGUUUGAAGUACUUUAUGGCUGGUUCCUUGCCAAGGCAUGUUUCUGUUUUUGACAAUCAUAUUUAUCAUCCCUAUUACAUUUUCAACUAUUAAUCGUUCAUUCCUUUUUAUUCAAGAAUGAUGUACUGUAUUUCUCAUGUACGAUGCUUUUUUCUUCCCAUGAAUACCUGACAGAUUGCCAGUAAGCUUGAGGUCUUUCCUGGGUCUGAGUUUCGUGUGGCAUAUGAAGAAGCAAUCAAGUAUGGUGGCAGGGUGAUACUCGGUGACCGCCCUGUACAGGUUGGAUACAUUUUUUUUUUAGGAAAAGCCACUGAUAUUACAUAUGCAUAAUGUCGUGUAUUAUCCAUUCUUAGCAUGUUUUCAGUUUUUGAUGUUUUCUUGAAUCUUUAGUUAGGCUACUAGUAGUAGUAGUAUACAUGCAUCACUUUUUUUUGUUCGCUCUCUGCUGUAAGAAUUUCCCACAUCUCCUUUGUGCUAUUUCUGUAGUCGUAUACACUUCAUAUUAAAUAAGGGGCAUAAUGCAUUAUGCUCACACCAUUAUGGGAUCUGGAGAGUAGAUCCACUGUGUAUGGUGUCUCAUCACAGCUGUAAGCAAAAAGGCUGUUAUAGUGACUACCACCAUGUCACAUAGCCUACUGUUUUAAUAGUUUUCUCACUAUUGCAUAAAGGCCUACUCUGUAACACUUGAACCCUCCAACAUAAAUCUGUCUUUUUCCUCAACUUAUGAAUCUGCUUAAAAUGCUUAUCGGAAAAUAUUUCUAUAGUUAUUUGAGAAAUAUUGAUAUGUACUUUGGUAGCAUAGUGAAUGAAAGGGGAAAACUGAAAACAAAAUAUUUGUGUUUUUUUUGUAGAAGUUUUAUUCAUUUAUUUUUUUCAAUAUUUGCAGUUUUAUCAAAGUGCUUUCAGCUUGGUUUAAUUGUAUGAUUAUGUUUUAGAAGUUUCUUAUUACUGUAUUAAUCGGUUUUGAUUUGGAUCAAGACAGAUUACAUUGAAGAGAACAUGGAGUAAGAUGCCACUUUGGUACAAGACAAAAUUGGUGUACUCUUUACUUUUCCAAGCAGUUUUUUUACCCAGCUCUGAUGAUCUUAAUAACAUGGUAUAUGUCAUGAUCUUCAUACACUAGUGAUAAGCGUGAAUUGAUCAUUUUUGUGCAAAGUUCUUGUGUAUAUACCCUAACAUGGGUUUGCUUUGCGUCUGCAGCUGAAGGAAAUGGAUGACAGUGACAUGCUGACUCUUGUUAUUCAAGAAAUGAGUAAAGAGUUUCCAACUUUAAUGGAGACCCUUGUCCAUGAACGAGAUCAGUAAGUUUUAUUGCACAUAGUUAAACUUAAAAGUUUCAUUCAUGGUGUCUGUCUCGUGUCACUUGGACUUCUUACCAAGUGCCUCUUUUGUUUCAGAGCAUAGGAUACAUAAAUACUUUUGAAUUGAACAUACUGUAGAGUUAUUUUGGGGCUGAUAUCAUCCAGUUAUGCCUUUUAAAACUAACUAGGGCACUAGCAUCGUGGGGUUUAGACUAAAAAGUCUCUUCAUUGGUGCAAUUAAUAGUAAAAUUAUGUAUUUAUGUCGUGUCUUAUAUUAUGUAUGAUUUAUCUAUUUUGCGUCUAUCCAGGUACAUGUCCUCCACGUUAUUAAAAGUGGCAAGUGAGAGCAGAUCAGUUGUGGCUGUUGUUGGAAAGGGGCAUCUACAAGGAAUGAAAAAGAAUUGGAAGCAACCUGUUGUGGUAUGUGAACAUUCAGUUAUUCUGUUAUAUAAUCGUAAUAAAUGCUAGUCUGUCAUGGGUGCACUUCAAAGCAAAUACUUUGGAAUUUAUAUGUAUAUUUAGCUCAAAAAGUAUUCGUAGACACUUCUAUUUUACCGAUCCUAACACACACGUGCUUUGUUGUUUCUGUCAUUCAAAAUUGUAGUAUCAUUCUUAUUAUAUUAGUGAUUGACAGAUUUUCUUACCGCAAUGUACCAUAUUGUUAACAGAUAAAGGAUCUUAUGACAGUUCCAUCUCCCAAACCAGCUAUCUCUGCAAUGAGAGUCUUUACAUCUGUAGGUGUUGGCGUGGCUGGGGUUGCCAUAAUAUCAGGCAUCUAUCUUUCAUGCAAGAAAUGACUUCUUUAGGUAGAGACAUUGUCAUGAUUGUCAUCUUCAGGAACGUUUGGUAUAUGAAUUGAAAUGUAUACAUGUUGAGUCAAGUUAUACCAUCAUCAACAAAGUUGGUGCAUAAGCCAUUUAAUUUAAUUUGUUUUAUUUUUUUUGGAUCAAGCAUUGUCAUCCCUCACCCCCUAACCCCUAUCAAAUCAUACACAAUCACAUUGGUAGCGUUUACAUUUACAUAUUAAAAUCAGAUUGAACAAAAUAUUUGGUAGUAUGCAAUAUGUAUUGCAUAUUGAAAACAAAAUAGAAUAAGACGUGGUAGCAAAAGUGAUUUUUAACUCCACAAAAAAACAGUAUAACUGGAAUCAAGUUGAACAUUGAUUUCAUUUUCUAUACUGACAUAGUUUGUGGAGGAGUUAGAUGGGGAUAGAGAAUUUUGCAAAUAUUAAAAUUGGUAAUGAUGCCAAGUGGAAGAUAAUUUGAAUAACCUUGAUUCAGAUGAGUUGAUUUUAUAUAUGGAAAAAUAGUUAAAUAGUGUACAUCUGAAUCUUAAUGUAACCCAUGUCAGCAAAUUGAUGGAUUUACAAUACUAUAAAAAAAAUUGUUGGUUUUUGCUUCAUAUUUUCUGGUUGUGAGGGAAAGACCAAAGUGCAGAAUGGUCUUCAAUGCCAGAUGCCAUGGCGGCCGAAAUAUAAGUGCAACAAUCAUAAUCGUGGCUAUUCGUACGCAAAGAUGAGAGUAAUGACCAAAUAUUAAGAGUCCCCUAGUCUCUCUUGCCCACCAUUACAACAACUCUUGCAAAUCAAUCUGAAAUGCUUUGCAAAGUUGCAAUCCUCCAAAUAAACACAAUAAUGUGUCCUUGGGAGAUAGGAGAACUUUGCAGAAUCUUUGUAAUGAUUUCUGUGGAAGUUUACAAGAGGAUUUAGUUUAACACAAGCUUUACAUGAAUAGAUUCCAACUAGUAUAAUUAGAGUUCAUUUUACUUGAUCAAAAAAGGAGUUCAUUUUGAUUCCAGGGUAGGAUUGUUACAUCAAACAAAGAGAAUGCUUUGCUAUUUUUGCUUGGUGCAAGCGCACGCUUCAUUGUAGACGCUACUUUGUUCAUUUGACGGCACUUUCGGGAUUUAAACCCUAGACCUUGUAUAUUGUAUACAUUGUCUAAACCAACUGAGCUAAACUCAUGCACACUUGUACAAGAAAAGAUAAAUACCUUUAAGAUCAAUUGCAUCAUCACAAUCACUUUUGAUAUCAUUGAAAGUUGAAACAACGUUGAGGUUUAGACAUUUUCUGUUUUUUUUUUUAGCAAUAGACAUUUUUUGUUUAAUUCCAACAAUUUCCCUUUUUCUUAAAGGCUUAAAUGUAGUUUUAAUUCUUUUAGAGUGUGUUUGGAUGGGGGAAUGUUUUGACGGAAUGUAAUGUUUUGAAGGAAUUUAAAUACUUUGAUGUGAACUCCAUUGUUUGGAUUAAGAAUUUGAAGAAUUUUCAAAAUGAUGAAAAUUUAUGAAGUAUUUUGUUCAAGUUAAAUUUAGAGAAUUUCAAAUGACACCUAAAAGUUAAGAAUUUCAAAAUUCUUCAUUGUUAUAAUCUUUCAAAUUUUGCACUUUGGUCCUCAAAUUUUACAAAAUUUCCAAAUUGACCCCAAUAAAUUUAUAAAAAAUUGCAAAUUAACCCCUCAAAUUUUUUCAAAAAUUAUAAUUUGACCCUCAAAUUUUUGAAAUUUGCAAAUUGACCCCUAAUUUUAUUUUUCAAAUUUGGCCCAAAAAAAAUCAAAUUUAUAAAAGUUGCCUAAAAAUGAUGACAAUAAUUUUUUUAUUACUUCAUCCAAACAAUAAUAUUUAGGAAUGAAAGCAAUUGAAUCAUUUGAAUUACCAAGAAUUCUAAAUUCUUCAAAAUUUCUCAAUUACCUCAUCCAAACACACUCUUAUUUUUACAAUUUUGUGGAAUGGACUCCUCUAUUUUUAAAAUGGAUGGUUUUGGUCUCUCCAUCAACUAUUUAAUAUGGUGAUACGACAUGUUUAAAAUAAUACUUUAAAUAAAAUUUUAUUGAUGUUGAUCUUUUUCAUCAUCAGAUCAGAUACCACAUCACUAUGUUGAAAGGAUCAAAACCGACAUAUUUUAAAAUAGGGACACCAAAUCGACAAAAUUGUGAAACUUGGUUGAUCAAAUUGCAAUUCAAAGCAUGUGGCAUGGUGAUAGUUUUUUUUUUUUAUAUAAUAACUUUUAGAUGAUAAACUCCGUGAGCAAAAAUGUGAUAGUUUUAAAAUUAUAAACAUUUGGUAUUAAUUAAAUGAUGUAUACGAUAAAUCUUUCAUACUAUUUGACAUAAUUUGGAAGAUUUAUAAACAAUUUAGUGAAGAAGAUUCUCCUUAAUUUGGAAGACGUUUGGGAUUAUUUGAGACUGAUAGAGUCUAUGGAAUUAUGUUGAUAUUUACAUUAUGAUAUUUUCAUGUUUAUGAGAUUAAUAAUGUUAGUUUAUUUCUUGUUCUUUGGUUGGGUAAUUGAAUCAUCGUAUGUGUAAUUAUGUUUUAAAGCCACUUUGCACAUCUUAUUCACUCGUGAUCAAUAAUAUUAAUCAAUAAGAAAACUGCUUAUAUACAAAAAAAACAUCAAUCUACAUUAAACUCAGAAGAGUGGAUCACAAUAUUAUUUUACAAUAAAUACAAUCAGUAAAAAGUAAAAGCACUACAGUUGCCAUCAAACCCAAUGCCACAUUGUUUCCCGAAGACUUCACCUCAAUACUAUAGAAUCUCCAUGUAUUCCUUUGAGAAACAGAAACUCAAUUAGUACACACUUAAGUCAAAAUGUGAAUUAAUAUCCCUUUUCUGAAAGGUAAACAAAAACACAUUAAAAUGAUAUACAAGAAAUAAUGUAUGAGGCGUUUCCAAGACCAAAUGGUAUUGAAUAAAACCCAUCAAUCAGGAUCACCACACAAUCAAUUUGGCGUCCGAGCCAUUACACUAAAAGGAACAAUUUAUCCUUCAGAAUUGGUAAAUGGACGCAAUACUUAACAUGUUUCAAAACAAUAUAGAUGUAUAAUUAAUGUUUGAACUAAAAAUUCCAUGUUGUAAUUCGAUGAGGUCAGAACCUGUAAUACAAACUCAAGAUAAAAAUAAAUAUCACAAGAAAUUUAUAGAGUGCUCAGUGGAAGGAGAAGUCGUUUUAAAAAUAAGCUCACGGCAAAACCUUUACGAUUUUGUCCACUGCCCAUAAACACUUCCUUGGUGUUUUUAUCUCAUCAUAGCACCAAUUAACAUAUAAUUAUAUCAGAAGAACAAAUAACAAAUGAUUCAAAACUAUAAUAUUUUGAAAAACAAAAAAUUAUAUAAAAAGAAUGGCUUCAGUGUGUGUAACAUUCAGAUCAUUGAUAUAAAAUCUCACUGAAAUCCGCUAAGAUAAGGUAUAUUAUCAUCAUAAGCCACUAUUAGACAAAAAAUUAACAGAAAAUAAUUAUCAUUGAUAUUGGAAAAUUGUGUGCUCAGACAGCCAAGGGGUUGUAAUCAGAUUCUGGGUGAAGAUUCCCAGAUCAGAAACUCUAGUCCACAUAAGUAUCAUCACCGCACAAUAAUAUUCAACAUAAAAUACAUAAGAAACAAAACAAAAACUAAUUGAAAUUAAGAUUUUCAGUAUUUGAUAAUCAGAAGAACUAAAAAAAAACAAAAAAAAUGCAGAUGAGAAAUGAUGAAGGAGAAGUUGUUGCUGGGUAGAUGGGGCUGUAGUUUAGAAUAUAUAGGCAGUGGAGUGAAGGGCGAUGCUCAAACUAGGGUUUUCUAAUGAGUGGGCGGAACUGCUAGGUUUUGGUAGCUUAGUGUGGGCUUGGAUCUUAAGCUUCAAAUUGGAGGCCCAUAUCACUACUUUUAGAAAAUUGCUCUUUCCACUUUAAAAAUUGCUCACCCACACUAUAAAAUUAUGCUUUUACCCCCAACGACAACUAAUUUAUGAAGGUAGAAGUAUUUAUAAAUGUCAACUAAGACACAAAUUGGUUUGUCUAAGCACAUGUAACGCAUAACCACAAUUCUAAAAGUUACCUUCAACUUCAAUUGGGAACACUUUCCCACUUAUUAAUUGAAUUAAUAUCAUCAUGACUUAGUAUUUUAUAUAGUAGGUCUAUGGUUUUGGCCCUUGAUACCAAUAAGCGUAUUAUGAGAAGUUAUCAUUGGAUCGGUCUUGAAUUCAUGUGGGCCUUUGAUCAAAUCAAAUUUAGGACAUGUUCCUACUAUGAUCCGCAUGCAUAUAAGCUUUGAAGGGUACAUUGCUCCAGUCAAGGAUUGAGCUUUAGUCCAGUCCAAAACACAAUAUUAACAUUGUUUAAAAAAAAACGAAUGAGAUAAUUCAAUUUAAAUUAAAGAUUUAAUUACCAUGUAGUAGUGACUAAGGAUGUUCAAAUUCGAACCGAUCCAAAAUAAAACCGCAAAUCGAUCCAAAAAACUCAAAGACCGCAAAAAUUUUGAUAUUAUUGGAUGCUUUUAGAUGUUGUUUUAUAAAAACCGAUAGGAUCGGAUUAGGUUUCAUAUCACUUUCUCAAAACUGAACCGUAAAAGUAAAUAUCAAUACUUAUUUUUUAUUUUAUUUUUAUAAAUAUCAAUACUUAUUUAUUUUUUUAUUAGUAUUGUAAAUUUUAUUUUUUUUUGAGAGAAUUAGUAUUGUAAAUUGAAUUGUUAUUUUCCUUGUUAGUUUUUAAUAUAUUGCACUAAUUUAAUCAAUAUUAUUCUACCUCCAAACAGCAUCGCAAACACCCCUAGCAGUAACCACAAUGUAAAAUGAUUAGAUAUGUUUAAUUUUAUUACAGUCAAUGCAAAAUUGAAAAAAUUAUUGAUCUCUUAAAUUAAUUAGAUAGAUUAGUUUUUUAUUUUAUUUUUAAGAUUAGUUAUUUGUAUUCUAUUUAUACAAAUACCUUUUUUUCUUUCUUUUGCCUGCAUCUAUCGAAAUGUCUGACUUAAAAUUUCAAUUCAUUUUUUAUCCGAAUGCAAACAUAAGUUUUUUUUUUUUUUUGAAUGGCACAAUAAUAAUAUAUAAAGAGAGAAAAAGAGGGAUCAAAUCCUGAAUAGUACAAAUACAGAGAUACAAAUAAAAGAAAAAAAUGCAAAAAGGAUGCUAGGCUCGGAGUACCAGAGGUACUCAAACGAAAAGAAGCCAAGAAGCACCAAACAAUAACCACGCUAAACAAAUCUAAGGAACAAAAACAACUACAACAAAAAGAAAACACCUCGACAAAAGGCCAGAUAGAAGCAAAUGGCACACCACAACCCCCCAGAAGAGAGCCAGGACCCACAACCCAAACACCCUACCGGAACCAGCACAGGAUAGGUUGCGCCUCCCACUCGUAUAAGGAAAAAAGGCUGACAGAGCUCUUACCCAGGAACCACUUCCAAGAUGAGAGUUUUACCUUAUCCACUAAAAGAUCGACAGGUGGAGCCCUCCCGCAAAAAUUAUAUCAUUACGAGAGUUCCAAACAGCCCACACAACAGCAAGCCAAACCAAAAUUAAACUAAGAGAAACUUUCUUACCCGAUCCCAACGCCACAAAACUAAGAAAACUACCUAAAAUAUUCGAGUGAGGCACUAACUCCCAAACUGUAACACUUCUAUUUCUAUUAAAGCAAUUAAACAUGCGACUAAUACAUUUAUUCAAGAAAUAGAGGCUACGCCACAUUCAAAAUUCAAAAACCAAAGGACAUGUAUAUAAACCUCAACAGUUGCAGCGGAAUAUAAACCAGAGUAAAUCCAAGUAUACAUGUUAUGAAUCAAUAAAUUACAUCAACAUAGAUGCAUCUCAAAAAUCCCAACAAACGGGUAAUCUCCAAACAUAACAAAAUCCAAAAUAAACUAAUCUAGACCGACACAACGAAGCCUAGAUCAGAGCCGACUAAACAUCUAAACACCGAUAUCGGAGAAAACUCCUGAUAUCCUCCAAGCAUAAAAACUCACCAAGCAUCUAAUCCUGCACAACGUCUACCCAUCCAUACAGAUAGGCAUACAGUUCAUAACAGAUCCACUGGGGGUAAGUAUUACAUCAUCAUAAUCUAAAUAAUAGUUAACAUGGAUAUUUCAAUUUAAAACAUCAUGCACUUGAUCAAUAAUAAUCACACAUUAAUACUUACAUCACACCCCGAUAUCUUACAUCUAUAUUCAUCAAUCAUAUGAACAAUUAUCAAUUUACAAAUAUUCAUUCACAAUCACCAAUCACAUUUAUCAUGAAUAAUCAUUAAUCACAUUUCAUGAACAAUCACCAAUUACAUGUAUCAUGAAUAAUCAUCAAUUAACAAUUAUUCAUACACAAUCACCAAUCAUAUGCAUCAUGAACAAUCACCGAUCAUAUACAUCAUGAACAAUCACCAAUCACCAAUCAUAAGCCAUGAACAAUCAUUAAUCAUAUUUCAUGAACAAUUAUCAAUUCACAAAUAUUCAUUCACAAUCUCCAAUCACAUUUCAAAAUAAGCCAUCAUGUCAUGAUAUGCACUUAUUGACACAUAAAAUCUCCAAUCACAUUUCAAAAUAAGCCAUCAUGUCAUGAUAUGCACUUAUUGACACAUAAAUGCAUGUGGUACCAAAUCUUCAAAAGGUCGUCACCUCCGAUGGACAAGCCAACAUCGUAUGUAAGGGUUCACCCCCGCCUUACAUAAUCUCCGAAGUAAAAGAGCUCAACCCUUUUACAACAACUCGACUAUGAUGCAUGGACAUGUAACAAGACUCGAUAAUGCGACAACAAUCACAAUUUUCUCCACAAUAUAUAGGACGACACCCAAUUAUAUUGUUCAUCUCCACAUCAUUUGCAUUAUCAAGAAAACAUGCCCAUACACAAAUAAAUCAUAGUAUUCACUAUCACACAUCAACAUGAUUAUCAAUAAUCAACAAUGUCAUUCAACAUCAACUAUCACAUAUAGUUUCACCAUUUCAAGCAUUCCUUACAUUCUAAGUAAGAUCACAUACAUAUCUCAUGAUAAACAUCAUAUCCAAUACAAUCAUUCAUUCAUACAACUUCACUUAGCCAUAUAAGAAUAGUCACCACAAUUCAUAAGACAAUUAGUUCAAGAAACAUUUCCGACCAAAGACCGUGUCAAGUGGCAAACGGCCAACAUUGACAAUUCCCAAGACAAAACAACAUAGACAAAUUGAGAACCUUCAAACAAUCUUAAUCGACAAUGUAAUCAUGAAGUUAAGUCGCCUCCGGAUCAUUAACGUUAAUCCAAGCACCACUUAAGUUCAUAUGAAAAUCCCAUUUUCACAACCUUUCACAUUCCCACCCGAAAUAUCAUUUUUGACAUGAUUAAGACGUUUGACCAACCAUACAAGUCCUACCUAAGUCUAUAAGAGCUGUAGGUUUAACUUGUAAUCCUAUUUAGUUCACAAAAGUUCAUUUGGACAAAAUCAUCAAAAUUACCAAAUUACGGCAAGUUCAUAUCAUUUCUUCCAUAUUGCAAAACCAAUUCAUUUUCAAAACAAAACCAAGUUAGAAUCAAGCUAUGAUACUCUUAGAAGCUUAAUUAUAAAUUGAUUGAAUGAGGUUAGAUGUUUGGAAUCCAUUGGCAUGCUUAAAAGUACACAAAAACACGAAAAAAUAAGGUUUUGGAAUUAUACAGGACUGACACGGUCGUGCCAUCAGGAAGCACGGUCGUGCCAUCUAGACGCACGGUCGUGUCACCUCACCAGUACAGCAAAAUGCAUUUUUACGUUUUUGCGCAUAAAAUCUUGUUUUCGAAUCCGAUUUCAGUUCCGUUUUCGCCAAUGCAUUCCUAACACUUAGACCAUACAUACCACACUUGAAAACUUGACAUUUAAACAUUAAAACAACUUAAUCAAACUCAUCCCAAAAUGACUUAUUUUGCAAAAGCACUUAAAAACCACUUUUACUCAAAAACCCGUUUUCUUCCCAAAACGAUUUCUCUCCAAAACCAAGUGAUUAAAACAGAAAAUCAUACCAUCCUAAUUCAUUCUAACAACUUCCUUAUCUCAUUCAACAUCAUCAAAAUCAAACUUCUUCUUUAUCAACCCAUUUUACAAAACCACCAACAACAACUCAUUUUCUCAACAACAAUCAUGAUAUAUGAACACCCAAGCCAUAAUUCAUAAUCAACAACAUAUCUCAGCAACAACAACAUCAAUUGAAACUUGAUUCACACCUCAAUUCAACAACAACAUGUCAUAAGUCAUCAAUUAAGCAUAAUUUCACAACAACCCAUUUUCAUACAUUAUGAACAUGUUAUUUCAUCACCAACAAUUCAUUUAUCAUUCAAUUAACAUACUCAAACUUAUCACCAAAACAAGAGCACGAAAAUUAGAGAUUGGGUUCAUAUGAAUUCUCACUCAAUUAAGCACUUUUUCAUACAAACCAAGAAAAAUUGCAAACAAACAAUUAUGAUUAUGAUGAAGACUAACCCCCUUACCUUAGGUUAUGAUCAAUUCAAACUUGAGCUUCACUUUAGCUCAUAAUUCUCCAAUCUUCAAGUUUUCCCCCUUUGCUAACCCUUGUUCUUCCUUUCACUCACUUUCUCUCUCUACCUCUCUCUAACUUUGUGAAAUGAAAUGAAUGAAUGAAUUUCUCUCCAAGUUUAGGUUUAGGUAUGCUACAACUCAAUUGGGCUCAAUUCUAGACCCUAGUGGGCUUAACCCAUUCUAACACAAUUCUAAAAAGUUUCUAUACACUCAACGGUAAUUACUAACAACGGUAAAACAUAACCAACAGUCACUAAACGGUAAAAACUAAUCACUACACUAGUAACUUAGUAAAAUAAGGGUUCUUACUAAAUAUUAAAAAUAAUUCACACCAAAAUUACCAUUUUACCCUUACCCGCCAAAUGACCAAAAUAUCGUUCUAUUACGGAAAUCCAUGAAAAUACACCCAAUGAUGAUUAAUCACACACAAACACAUAAAACACAUAAUAAAAGUAAUUAAAAUAAAUCUAGCGAAAAAUCAGGCUGUUACACAAACCACCUAGAAAAGUGAUGAUCCAAGUAGAUGUGGCACAACAUAAUGCAAUUGAUCAUUGUUGAGGUGCGGUUCAACUUGACCGGAGCAGGAUCAUGUACCCGCAAAUACAUCAUACACUCGUGUCAAUAAGUUCAAGGAGUUUUGAUGUAUUUUCUCCGUUGUGCAUUUGUUUUUGCAGUAAGUUGUUCUAUUUAUAGAUUGUUGUGCAUGCCCCGUAGGCCAAGCGACCUUUUAAUCCUUUGGGUGGCUUAUAUUAGCUCUAAGCAGCUUAUUUCGUGUGGUGCAACUAUUUGCUGACGUAGGUAGUCUGUAUUUAGACUUAGAAUCAUGCUCUUUACUCAACACAUUUUGCACAACUUAAGUAUUGCAACGUGAGUUAAGUCACACGGAGUGACUUAACUGACCUUUUCUAAUUUAUUUACUAUAUUCAAAUUAUUUUAUUUACUUUAUUCUAAUUUAUUUAUUUACGUUAUUCUAAUUUAUUUAUUUACUUUAUUCUAUUUGUUCACUUUAUUCUAAUUUAUUUGUUUACUUUAUACUAAUUUAUUUAUUUACGUUAUUCUAAUUUAUUUAUUCACAUAAAAUAAAUAUUUAUUCAAAUUUAUUCAUUAAAUAAGUGCAAAUAUAAAAGGAAAUAAAAAUAAAUGAACUAAAUUAAUAUUUAUUUGAAUUUAUUCAUUAAAUAAAUGCAAAUAUAAUAUAAAUAAAAAUAAAUGAACUAAAUUAAUAUUUAUUUGGAUUUAUUCAUUAAAUACAAAAUCAAAAAAUAAAUAAAAAGAAAUGAACAAAACUAAUACAUAUAACAACAUCUAAUUUUAUUAAAAGAAUUCAUACAAUAAUUGAUACAUUUAUUCGAAUUCACUAAAUCUACUUAUUUUCUUUUUACCCUCUUGGGGUAAAAAGUGAUCAGACUUGGGUAAAUAGUGAGCAGAUUUCUUGGGAAAAAUACAUCAUUAACCAUUGGGUUGAAUCUAAAUCUGGUUCUUUUUAUACCCCAAGAAGAUUCUUUUUACCCACGGUAAAAAGUUUUUGGGGGUAAAAAGAAGCAAAUUUAAUUUUAUCUCAAGGGUUGAUCACUUCCUUAAGUCAGCUACUCACUAUUUACCUCAAAAUUGACCACUUUAUACCUCAAAGGAGUAAAAUGAGACUAGAGAUUAUUGAAAAAAAAAAAAAAGAGAAAUAGAGGGAGUGUGAGGAGGGAGAGAAAGUGAUAUGGUGUGAGGAAAUAGAGAAGUAUGAAAGGGUAUUUAUAGGUGGAAAUGGUAGUAUAUGUUAUAACAAUCAUAAAUGUGGUCAAAAAAAUGUGUAAGCAUGGUAAAAAAACAUGUAUAUUGAAGGUUGAAAGCUGACCCAAAUCCAAAAAACGUGUGUUUUUGAGCUCUGACCAACCCGUCAACCUGCGUGAGUUAACUCGCACCCAUGCCAAUGGUGCGUGAGUUAAGCCACGCUUCGUGACUUAACUCAUGCAGGGGUAUUUUCGAAAGUUCAGCUGAAUGAGAUGAAUUUUACUGGGAGAAGAGCAGAAUUCUUAGACUUAUAUAUGUAUCUCGUUGGACCUUUUACUUCAGGAUUGCGAAUGGACCUUUUUCUUCAAUUUCAUAAAAGAAACAUAC
Molecule: long non-coding RNA, 17311 nt
Filed under: Medicago truncatula (barrel medic)
Lineage: Eukaryota; Viridiplantae; Streptophyta; Magnoliopsida; Fabales; Fabaceae
Description: long non-coding RNA (MTRU_LNC001749)
Source: RNAcentral